RNAcentral lists this ribosomal RNA (297 nucleotides) under uncultured bacterium. RNAcentral describes it as "partial 16S ribosomal RNA". It matches the Rfam family "Bacterial small subunit ribosomal RNA", at positions 775 to 1067 of the family's 1533-position model. The record is from RNAcentral.
GGAUUAGAUACCCUGGUAGUCCACGCUGUAAACGAUGAGUGUUAGGUGUUGGGGUCUUUAAGGCUUCAGUGCCGUAGCUAACGCGUUAAACACUCCGCCUGGGGAGUAAGAUCGCAAGAUUAAAACUCAAAGGAAUUGACGGGGACCUGCACAAGUGGUGGAACAUGCGGUUUAAUCCGAUACUACGCGCAGAACCUUACCAACUCUUGACAUGGUGGUCGCGGGAUUCAGAAAUGGAUUCUUUCAGUUCGGCUGGACCACACACAGGUGUUGCAUGGCCGUCGUCAGCUCGUGCCG